Molecule: ribosomal RNA, 440 nt
Filed under: uncultured bacterium
Lineage: Bacteria
Description: bacterial SSU rRNA
Rfam family: Bacterial small subunit ribosomal RNA
Source: RNAcentral
CCUACGGGAGGCAGCAGUAGGGAAUCUUGCGCAAUGGGCGAAAGCCUGACGCAGCCAUGCCGCGUGAAUGAUGAAGGUCUUAGGAUUGUAAAAUUCUUUCACCGGGGAAGAUAAUGACGGUACCCGGAGAAGAAGCCCCGGCUAACUUCGUGCCAGCAGCCGCGGUAAUACGAAGGGGGCUAGCGUUGCUCGGAAUUACUGGGCGUAAAGGGCGCGUAGGCGGACAGUUUAGUCAGAGGUGAAAGCCCAGGGCUCAACCUUGGAAUUGCCUUUGAUACUGGCUGUCUUGAGUUCGGGAGAGGUGAGUGGAAUGCCGAGUGUAGAGGUGAAAUUCGUAGAUAUUCGGCGGAACACCAGUGGCGAAGGCGACUCACUGGCCCGAUACUGACGCUGAGGCGCGAAAGCGUGGGGAGCAAACAGGAUUAGAUACCCUGGUAGUC